UUUCCGUAGGUGAACCUGCGGAAGGAUCAUUCAUAAUAAAGUGUUUUAUGGCACUUUUUAAAAAUCCAUACCCACCUUGUGUGCAAUGUUAGAUCUCGUCAAUCUUGGCGAGGUUUUUAUACAUCAACUCAUUCUUUAACUAAUUUGUCUGAAAAAUAUUAUGAAUACUUAAUUCAAAAUACAACUUUCAACAACGGAUCUCUUGGCUCUC
RNAcentral lists this unclassified non-coding RNA (211 nucleotides) under plant metagenome. RNAcentral's name for it is "partial contains small subunit ribosomal RNA, internal transcribed spacer 1, and 5.8S ribosomal RNA". The record is from RNAcentral.